Molecule: non-coding RNA, 175 nt
Filed under: uncultured Enterovibrio sp.
Lineage: Bacteria; Pseudomonadati; Pseudomonadota; Gammaproteobacteria; Vibrionales; Vibrionaceae
Description: Lysine riboswitch
Rfam family: Lysine riboswitch aptamer
About the family: Riboswitches are metabolite binding domains within certain messenger RNAs that serve as precision sensors for their corresponding targets.
Source: RNAcentral
ACACGUAGAGGUGCGCUGUUUAUCAGUAGGUUGUCUUAGGGUGAUGCCAGUGAGGGCAAGCGAAAGGAAACCGCGCCGAAGCACAAUGGGUUUAUCAGACUUUUGUGCUGGGGUUGUGCUCGAAAAGACACAACACUGCCAUAGUAUUGGGAUUUAACUAUGGAGCGCUACUGUA